AGGUGAACCUGCGGAAGGAUCAUUAACGAGUUAGGGUCUUCUAGGCCCGACCUCCCAACCCUAUGUUUAUUGAACCUCUGUUGCUUCGGCGGACCCGCCUCACGGCCGCCGGAGGACCGCUGCAAGGCGUCCUCUGGCCAGCGUCCGCCGAUGGCCAACCACUUAAACUCUGAAUGAAUCGUGUCAUAUGUCUAAGUCUAUGAUUAAAUUAAAGCAAAACUUUCAACAACGGAUCUCUUGGUUCUGG
Molecule: unclassified non-coding RNA, 247 nt
Filed under: uncultured fungus
Lineage: Eukaryota; Fungi
Description: partial contains 18S rRNA, ITS1 and 5.8S rRNA
Source: RNAcentral